This 99-nucleotide transfer RNA is filed under the name Vulcanisaeta distributa DSM 14429. It matches the Rfam family "tRNA". From Rfam's summary of the family: Transfer RNA (tRNA) molecules are approximately 80 nucleotides in length. Their secondary structure includes four short double-helical elements and three loops (D, anti-codon, and T loops). Lineage: Archaea; Thermoproteati; Thermoproteota; Thermoprotei; Thermoproteales; Thermoproteaceae. The record is from Rfam by way of RNAcentral.
GCCGGGGUGGCCGAGCACGGUUAAGGCGCGGGACUCGAGAGCAAGGCCAAGGCAUCCCGUCCCCGCAAGGGGGCCCGGGUUCAAAUCCCGGCCCCGGCA